Molecule: ribosomal RNA, 484 nt
Filed under: uncultured bacterium
Lineage: Bacteria
Description: partial 16S ribosomal RNA
Rfam family: Bacterial small subunit ribosomal RNA
Source: RNAcentral
GACGAACGCUGGCGGCGUGCUUAACACAUGCAAGUCGAACGAUGAAGCCGGAGCUUGCUCUGGUGAAUUAGUGGCGAACGGGUGAGUAACACGUGAGUAACCUGCCCUUGACUCUGGGAUAACUGCGGGAAACUGUAGCUAAUACCGGAUACGACCCUCGGAGGCAUCUCCUGGGGGUGGAAAGAAUUUCGGUCAAGGAUGGACUCGCGGCCUAUCAGCUAGUUGGUGAGGUAAAGGCUCACCAAGGCGACGACGGGUAGCCGGCCUGAGAGGGUAAGCGGCCACACUGGGACUGAGAAACGGCCCAGACUCCUACGGGAGGCAGCAGUGGGGAAUAUUGCACAAUGGGCGCAAGCCUGAUGCAGCAACGCCGCGUGAGGGAUGACGGCCUUCGGGUUGUAAACCUCUUUUAGCAGGGAAGAAGCGAAAGUGACGGUACCUGCAGAAAAAGCACCGGCUAACUACGUGCCAGCCGCCGCCGUAA